AGUGCCUACGGGACGCAGCAGUGGGGAAUAUUGCACAAUGGGGGAAACCCUGAUGCAGCGACGCCGCGUGAGUGAGGAAGUAUUUCGGUAUGUAAAGCUCUAUCAGCAGGGAAGAAAAUGACGGUACCUGACUAAGAAGCCCCGGCUAACUACGUGCCAGCAGCCGCGGUAAUACGUAGGGGGCAAGCGUUAUCCGGCUUUACUGGGUGUAAAGGGAGUGUAGGCGGGAAAGGAAGUCAGAAGAGAAAAAU
RNAcentral lists this ribosomal RNA (251 nucleotides) under uncultured bacterium. RNAcentral's name for it is "partial 16S ribosomal RNA". It matches the Rfam family "Bacterial small subunit ribosomal RNA", at positions 335 to 602 of the family's 1533-position model. The record is from RNAcentral.